This 691-nucleotide ribosomal RNA is filed under the name Mammaliicoccus sciuri. RNAcentral's name for it is "bacterial SSU rRNA". It matches the Rfam family "Bacterial small subunit ribosomal RNA", at positions 47 to 719 of the family's 1533-position model. Lineage: Bacteria; Bacillati; Bacillota; Bacilli; Caryophanales; Staphylococcaceae. The record is from RNAcentral.
CCUAAUACAUGCAAGUCGAGCGAACAGAUGAGAAGCUUGCUUCUCUGAUGUUAGCGGCGGACGGGUGAGUAACACGUGGGUAACCUACCUAUAAGACUGGGAUAACUCCGGGAAACCGGGGCUAAUACCGGAUAAUAUUUUGAACCGCAUGGUUCAAUAGUGAAAGACGGUUUCGGCUGUCACUUAUAGAUGGACCCGCGCCGUAUUAGCUAGUUGGUAAGGUAACGGCUUACCAAGGCGACGAUACGUAGCCGACCUGAGAGGGUGAUCGGCCACACUGGAACUGAGACACGGUCCAGACUCCUACGGGAGGCAGCAGUAGGGAAUCUUCCGCAAUGGGCGAAAGCCUGACGGAGCAACGCCGCGUGAGUGAUGAAGGUCUUCGGAUCGUAAAACUCUGUUGUUAGGGAAGAACAAAUUUGUUAGUAACUGAACAAGUCUUGACGGUACCUAACCAGAAAGCCACGGCUAACUACGUGCCAGCAGCCGCGGUAAUACGUAGGUGGCAAGCGUUAUCCGGAAUUAUUGGGCGUAAAGCGCGCGUAGGCGGUUUCUUAAGUCUGAUGUGAAAGCCCACGGCUCAACCGUGGAGGGUCAUUGGAAACUGGGAAACUUGAGUGCAGAAGAGGAGAGUGGAAUUCCAUGUGUAGCGGUGAAAUGCGCAGAGAUAUGGAGGAACACCAGUGGCGAA